GGUCUUAUAUUCAUGUUUGUGAUGCUAGAAUGCAAUUCUAGCGGGGUGAAAUUGGUCACUAAGGUCU
RNAcentral lists this transfer RNA (67 nucleotides) under Calcaritermes cf. nigriceps. RNAcentral describes it as "tRNA-Cys". The record is from RNAcentral. Lineage: Eukaryota; Metazoa; Arthropoda; Insecta; Blattodea; Kalotermitidae.